GUAGUUUGUGAGGUAUUGGCCCUCUCUAAAGCCAGUAACCCCAAGCUUGUCUUUCUUUGUGAAACUAGACAAGCUUUAGAUAAAGUUGAGAAGUUAAGAUUGAGACUAGGUGUGAAAGGUUUCCAUGCAGUGAGUAGUGACGAAAGAAGUGGAGGCUUGGUACUUUUCUGGGAUGAGUAUUUAUUAGUGAUUGUACUUGAUGCAUGCAACAGGUACAUUGAUGUUAAUAUUUUGGAUGGUGGAUCUGGUAUUUCUUGGAGGGGAACCUUUGUGUAUGGGGAACCAAGAGUUGAAAACAGAUGGCAUAUGUGCAUUACUGCAGGAUGCUGCUAA
This 333-nucleotide ribosomal RNA is filed under the name Triticum aestivum (bread wheat). RNAcentral describes it as "partial small subunit ribosomal RNA". Lineage: Eukaryota; Viridiplantae; Streptophyta; Magnoliopsida; Poales; Poaceae. The record is from RNAcentral.